Molecule: small nuclear RNA, 293 nt
Filed under: Octodon degus (degu)
Lineage: Eukaryota; Metazoa; Chordata; Mammalia; Rodentia; Octodontidae
Description: 7SK RNA (ENSODEG00000024297.1)
Rfam family: 7SK RNA
About the family: 7SK was discovered as an abundant small nuclear RNA in the mid-70s but a possible function has only recently been suggested. Two independent studies have found that 7SK RNA binds the CDK9/cyclin T complex (known as elongation factor P-TEFb). P-TEFb activates transcription by phosphorylating the C-terminal domain of RNA polymerase II.
Source: Rfam by way of RNAcentral
GAGGUGAACAUGAUCCGGCUGGGACACCUUCACCCCACUGACAUCUAGGGUUGGUUCGCCUGAUGUGGUUGGCUAGGCGGGGGGCCCUUUCCUCCCUCAGUGCCCCAUUGGGUCCUACCUUAAGCUGCCUGGUAGGUCACAGAGAACAACCACCCAGAUAGAGGAGAAUCUUUCCUCUGUCAAAGAUAUUCAAGUAGCUGUGCUUCCCCACAAGAGCCUCCAGAGAAGUGCUCUAGAGUUUACUGAAAAAUUUAAAAUUACUUCUUUUUCUUUUUGCAGAACCAGGGAUUGAA